AGGCCGGUAGCUCAGUUGGUUAGAGCGCGAAGCUUAUACCUUCGUGGUCGGUGGUUCGAGUCCACCCCGGCCUA
Molecule: transfer RNA, 74 nt
Filed under: Candidatus Chazhemtobacterium aquaticus
Lineage: Bacteria; Candidatus Chazhemtobacteraceae
Description: tRNA-Ile
Rfam family: tRNA
About the family: Transfer RNA (tRNA) molecules are approximately 80 nucleotides in length. Their secondary structure includes four short double-helical elements and three loops (D, anti-codon, and T loops). Further hydrogen bonds mediate the characteristic L-shaped molecular structure. tRNAs have two regions of fundamental functional importance: the anti-codon, which is responsible for specific mRNA codon recognition, and the 3' end, to which the tRNAs corresponding amino acid is attached (by aminoacyl-tRNA synthetases). tRNAs cope with the degeneracy of the genetic code in two manners: having more than one tRNA (with a specific anti-codon) for a particular amino acid; and 'wobble' base-pairing, i.e. permitting non-standard base-pairing at the 3rd anti-codon position.
Source: RNAcentral